This is a long non-coding RNA of Photinus pyralis (common eastern firefly), 275 nucleotides long. RefSeq lists it as uncharacterized. The transcript is spliced from 2 exons. Lineage: Eukaryota; Metazoa; Arthropoda; Insecta; Coleoptera; Lampyridae. The record is from RefSeq and is a predicted model, not a curated record.
UUUGUAUCGGCAUCGGAGUCUAACGAAUUUGCGCGAAAUCGCAGAAUAAGUGGAAUAUCUCAGAAUGAUGCAACUGCGGUUGGCGCAAAGUGCUUUAAAGGGUACCAAAGGGUUGGUGGGGUAUGCCGAAAGUUGGGGGGUAAAUGAGAAGAGGAUGGAGGUCCGCCCAACAUCAAGCAUAAUAUAAAUGCAGCAUUGCGAAAGUAAAAUUUUUGAUUUGUAGAAUUGUUCGUUUCGUUUCGAUGUACGCUUUUAAAUAAAUUUGCUAACGCUUA